GUCUGUGGUCAUACUGGCCUGAACAGGCCCCAUCUCAUCUGAUCUUGGAAGCUAAGCAGGGUCAGGCCUGGUUGGUAGUACUUGGAUGGGAGAUUGUUUAACGUUCUCUAAGUAGUCCAUCAAGUAUUCGCUGUAG
RNAcentral lists this ribosomal RNA (136 nucleotides) under Nannospalax galili (Upper Galilee mountains blind mole rat). The record is from RNAcentral. Lineage: Eukaryota; Metazoa; Chordata; Mammalia; Rodentia; Spalacidae.